This 253-nucleotide ribosomal RNA is filed under the name uncultured bacterium. RNAcentral's name for it is "partial 16S ribosomal RNA". It matches the Rfam family "Bacterial small subunit ribosomal RNA", at positions 524 to 776 of the family's 1533-position model. The record is from RNAcentral.
UGCGGAGGGGGCAAGCGUUACUCGGAAUCACUGGGCGUAAAGGGCGCGUAGGCGGCCUAGCAAGUCUGGUGUGAAAGCCCAGGGCUCAACCCUGGAAGGGCACUGGAAACUGUUAGGCUUGAGUUCCGGAGAGGAGGGGGGAAUUCCCGGUGUAGCGGUGAAAUGCGUAGAUAUCGGGAGGAGUACCGGUGGCGAAGGCGCCCCUCUGGACGGAAACUGACGCUGAGGCGCGAAAGCGUGGGGAGCAAACAGG